GAUGAACGCUAGCUACAGGCUUAACACAUGCAAGUCGAGGGGAAACGGCAUUGAGUGCUUGCACUCUUUGGACGUCGACCGGCGCACGGGUGAGUAACGCGUAUCCAACCUUCCCAUUACUGUGGGAUAACCUGCCGAAAGGCAGACUAAUACCGCAUAGUCUUCGAUGACGGCAUCAGAUUUGAAGUAAAGAUUUAUCGGUAAUGGAUGGGGAUGCGUCUGAUUAGCUUGUUGGCGGGGUAACGGCCCACCAAGGCUACGAUCAGUAGGGGUUCUGAGAGGAAGGUCCCCCACGUUGGAACUGAGACACGGUCCAAACUCCUACGGGAGGCAGCAGUGAGGAAUAUUGGUCGAUGGACGGAAGUCUGAACCAGCCAAGUAGCGUGCAGGAUGACGGCCCUAUGGGUAGUAAGCUGCUUUUGUAUGGGGAUAAAGUUAGGGACGUGUCCCUAUUUGCAGGUACCAUACGAAUAAGGACCGGCUAAUUCCGUG
RNAcentral lists this ribosomal RNA (492 nucleotides) under uncultured bacterium. Its description in RNAcentral is "partial 16S ribosomal RNA". It matches the Rfam family "Bacterial small subunit ribosomal RNA", at positions 28 to 507 of the family's 1533-position model. The record is from RNAcentral.